CCUACGGGAGGCAGCAGUGAGGAAUAUUGGUCAAUGGGCGCGAGCCUGAACCAGCCAAGUCGCGUGAAGGAUGACGGCCCUACGGGUUGUAAACUUCUUUUGCCGGGGAGCAAUUCAGUCCACGUGUGGUCUUGCGGAGAGUACCUGAAGAAAAAGCAUCGGCUAACUCCGUGCCAGCAGCCGCGGUAAUACGGAGGAUGCGAGCGUUAUCCGGAUUUAUUGGGUUUAAAGGGUGCGCAGGCGGAAUAUCAAGUCAGCGGUAAAAAUUCGGGGCUCAACCCCGUCGUGCCGUUGAAACUGAUGGUCUUGAGUGGGCGAGAAGUAUGCGGAAUGCGUGGUGUAGCGGUGAAAUGCAUAGAUAUCACGCAGAACUCCGAUUGCGAAGGCAGCAUACCGGCGCCCAACUGACGCUGAAGCACGAAAGCGUGGGGAUCGAACAGGAUUAGAUACCCCAGUAGUC
RNAcentral lists this ribosomal RNA (460 nucleotides) under uncultured bacterium. RNAcentral's name for it is "partial 16S ribosomal RNA". It matches the Rfam family "Bacterial small subunit ribosomal RNA", at positions 338 to 795 of the family's 1533-position model. The record is from RNAcentral.